CAGAGGCCUCUCCCACAGAGCUCCUGAGGGUUCCAAUUCCUGAUUCCCAGAACGCUGCCAAAUUUGUUGGCCUUAUGAUUCUGGGGAACGUUGAAACAUAGUUGUGUCUACACGGACUGGAACUAUCUUACCUGAGAAAACUGAAUAUUGUUCAAUGCAUCUUGUAUUAGCAUCUUUGGAAAAGAUUUGUGUAUCUCUAUACCAUGUUACCAUGUAACAUGGGAAGUCUUGUCCAACAGAAUCUCACUGAUUCUUUGUGUAACAGGUUGGCUGAAAAUAUUCCUUCAAUGUGAUUAGAGAAGUGAAGAAUUCUAUUAGACGCAGUUCCCUGAAAGACCAUCUACAGUAAAUACAGCUGUGGGUUUCAAUUUAAAUUAAAAUUGAUUGCAUGCUUAUUGCUCCUUCUAAGCUUUGGAACUGGAAAAUUAAAAAUUCACAUGUAGCAAUUUUGAUUUGCUUUUGAGAGAAAGUUCUUGAUUUAGAUACUCAGCAGGUUGCCAAUAGGUAAAUAUAGUAGUAAGGAAAACAGAAAAGUUUUCUUUUUGAAAGGUUAUCACAGUUGUAUGGAUAAAACUGAAAGCAGAAUCUUCGUCUGAACUUCUUAUACAAUUAUAUCAUAAACUUCUCAUCUCUGUUGUUGGUAUUGUUUGUUGAGGGCACAGAAGGAGGAUUAACACACACCAUAGUUUUCCUAAGAGAGCCCUGCUGGUCCUUAUGCGACUUUCCCAGUCUUUCAAUCAUCUAGGUUAGAUGAUAGUGGAUAUUAUCAUCUUCCCUCUUAGAAACUGUUUUUAGCUGGAGCCCAGUCAUGGCCUCAGCAACAUGAGACUCAGCUAUUGCCCCUUUAUUCAAAGCUAAGAUUUUCCAGCAUUGUGCUGGGUGAAACAUUAUCAGAUUUAAGUCAUAUAGAAUCAUAUUUGGAUUUCAUAAAGUCAAGUUACUGAAUGAUAUUUAGAACCUUGAAGUUCUGUGAUCUCAUAAAAUAACUUAAGUUUUGAUCUAAUUUUAAUUUUAAGAGAGAAUUGAAAUGAAAGCAAUGAAAUUCAUCUUCAACACCAUAGUUGUCCUAUCACAUUUUCUUACCAUUCUUGUUUAAACUAAGUUUUGAAAGAC
This 1113-nucleotide long non-coding RNA is filed under the name Oryctolagus cuniculus (rabbit). RNAcentral's name for it is "lncRNA (ENSOCUG00000035278.1)". The record is from RNAcentral. Lineage: Eukaryota; Metazoa; Chordata; Mammalia; Lagomorpha; Leporidae.